GAAUUGCAAAUUCGAAACCGCCAAUUGAUC
RNAcentral lists this transfer RNA (30 nucleotides) under Amalosia rhombifer (zigzag velvet gecko). RNAcentral describes it as "partial tRNA-Cys". The record is from RNAcentral. Lineage: Eukaryota; Metazoa; Chordata; Lepidosauria; Squamata; Diplodactylidae.